UCCUGUUCAAACAACAUUUUUUUCUUUUCAGUCCAUGUACAAGAAGGCAUAAUCAAUUAUUUUAGGGAAGUGACGAAGGUGUGUUUUCUUUUUUCAACAACUUAAAUUUUUAAACGUGGUGAUUCAAUCAAUAAAGCUUCUAGAUUUAAUCGUGAAACUCGAAAAGGAUUCAUACCUUAUUUAUGCAUUUCUCAACUAUUUUAGGGAGGUCUGUUUGAGGUCUUACUCCACCAUAAAUGGACCCCUUAAUUGUCCUACCACACAAGAGGGGAAUGUAUUUGAGCUCCCCACUUAAAUGAAGUCCUGCACCAAUGAAAACUAUUGUCCCAAGUCCCUGUUUAAAUGACACAAUUAAAAAGAAAUUAGUCUUAUGUUAUGAUCAAUAGGAAAAGCCAUUACUGAUACUGAAAUUAACAGGAAAAUUUGAGGAAUUUUACCACUUUGGAUCCCUCAAUUGCUUCAUUUAGCAGCUCUGGAACUCCAGUGCACUCAUAACAGUAAUCUACCCCCAGUCCACCUGUAGUCUCUUUGAUCAAUUCUGAUACAGGUUUAUCAGAUUCUUUUGGAUUGAUAAAUUCAGUCAUUCCAAAGACUUCUCCUUUCUUCUUCUUUAAGUUGUUUACGUCGAUCCCAAUUAUCCUAGAAGCUCCAUUCAUUCGCGCUGCCUCUAUCACCUGCGUUAGUUGCCAUUAAGGUUCAUUGCUAAUAAAAUUUUGAUAUGUAUGGAUGUCAUCAUGGUCAAUGAAGAUGCGUACAGCUAGCACUACCGUAAGGGCAUAUUUGUACACGGUAUAGUCUUGUGUAGUCUAGUAUACCAAACACACCACAAAUGUAUAAUGCUAUCACUAGCUAAGGACAUGUAUUAUACACGGAUUUGGAUAACAUUGAAUAGUGCAAUGGAGAAGAUCCAAUAUAGUACCAUCCAGUAUACCAAACAUGCAACGAGUCUAUCACUACUGCAGUGGGUGUGUAUUGCUAUCAUUAUUGCAAGGGUAUGUUUUCUACACUAUAGUGAAUAGUCUACAGUGCGGCGAACUGGAUUUUAACAUUUUUUUUCUUUCCUAAUACUGUUCAAUCUUGUCUACUCCAAUAUAUGAAACAUGCCACGAGUAAAUACAUGUACUUACUCCAAGUCCAACAGCACCAACACCAAUAACAGCAACAGUUGAGCCCUUUUCAAUAGUGACUUCCCUCCAGGCAGAUCCAAAACCUGUGGUGAAACCACAGCAAAGGAAACUUGCAUGUGCAAGAGAAACACGGGGAUCAACCUUGACUGCAAAAUUCGCGUCGAUAACGACAUAUUCAGACCAUGUACCACAGCUAAAAUGGUGAUAUAUUAUCUGAUCUCCAAUGUGCAUUCUUGAUGUGCCAUCUGGCAUUAGGCCAGUGAAAUUUAAGGGAUAUUUGUGGCAUAAAUUUGUCUUCCCGGAUUUGCAAUUCAGACAUUCCCCACAUUCUCCCAGAUAGAGUGGCAUCACUACAUCUCCUUCCUUCAGAUUUGUGAUUCCUUCUCCCACACUUUCUAUCAUGCUGUAUUUGAAAUUUUUAUGAAAGUAUCAUAUGAUCAUUAUGUUUAAGCUUAGUUCAGAAAUAACAUCGUUUAGCAGAAUAAAAUUCUCGAUUUUGGUUUAGAUGAAAAGUGUUUUAUGGAUAAAAUCUUCAUUAAUGUCUCAUUUGAAACCAAAAUAAAUGUCUACUUGAGCACGGACCUGGAAAGGUCACAUGAGCUCAAAUUCUUAUAACAAAGGCAAAUUUAUUAUUUGUUUUGAAUUCUGUAUAUACAUGUUUUCGAGCAUGUACUUUGAUUUUAAGGAUGCAGAAUUCUCCAUUUAGGGUACGUUUAUACUCCGGAUUCAACAUGAAUACAAAGUAAAGACAUACCUUGAACAAGUAAGAAUGCGAUUGGUUCGUUAUUUUGAGGCCAUUUUCAGUUUUAUAAAAUACUCAAAACGUGUUUGGUAUUUUAUUUUCAAAAAUGCGUUUUUUAAAACAAGGAAAAUUUACAACAUAAAACUCGAAAUGACUUUUUGACAUUUUGAGUGUUUUCAAUAAAAACACUCAAAAAACUCAAAACAAGGCGAAUGAACUAAAAAAUUUUCCAAAUUAAAAUAAUUAAUAAAAUCACACAAAAUUUACCCAACUACAUAUCCUCCCUCCCAUACUCCUUCAAAAUGUCAUAAAACUAUUUCUAAAAUUUUUAAACUAAAUAUGUUUUCUAGUUUUUUUUUUUUUUUCUUUGAAAAACAGUUUUUCAGAAUGACGAACCAAACGCUUUUUCUGCAACCUUAAAAUAAUCCCUCAAAGUAUAAAACAGAAAAUGAUUUCAAAACUGAAAAUAGAAAACAGGAAUGCAAACUAAACGCACCACAAGUUUUUGAAAUAAAAUUUCAGAAUAAGUAACUCAAAAGCUUAAAACAUGCUUUAUGAACAAGGGUCGUAUAAAAUUUGUCAGUUGAAUCCCAGUAUCAAACAUGCUACUGCUCUAUCCAUAAAGCAUCAAAGGUAGAAAGAGAGAGAGAGAGAUUUACCCAACUCCUUCAUGUCCAGGAAUCCGAGGAAACAAAGGCUGCAAAAACAGUCCAAAGAACAAAAUCAAAUCACUCAAAUUCAGCAAUUUCAGUAGACUGUAAAUCAAAAAUUUCAAAAACCCAACAACUAAAAACUGAAUUCCUUACAACAGGGAGUCCAUUGCGACACAGAAAAUCAGUGUGACACAAACUUGCACAAAGCAUUUUGAUCCUAACUUCAGAGGAUUUGGGAGGAUCCACUUGUAUUUCCUCUAUUUUCAAUGGGUCUCCUGAUUUCCAUACCACUGCAGCUUUGCAUGUAAUUACUCCUGGAUUGCCUCUAGUCAUGGUGGAUACCUGGUUGCAAAUGGGAGAAUAUUGUCCAGUCACGGUUCUGUAUAAACUCAUGUAUAUAUAAUAGAGUUGACGGGGACGGGUAAUAGACGUGGGCUUGUUUUUUUGCUGUGAACCGUUGCUCGCGUUGUUCGCGUGCUACAUUUUUAAAUAAUUUUUCAAUUUUUGGCUAAAUGAACUAUUUACCACAGGUCAAUAAUCUGUCUUGUCACUUGUGCUUGUGAAGCUCGUGGAUUUGAUUAAAAAUAGAUAGGUUUGAAAACCCGGUCGGUUUUCACUUAAAGAAGAUAGCGGGUCGAGAUUAAAAAUGUUGACUUGAAACUGAGUCGAGGUCGAAUUCAUGAUAAAAGAAUAUUUAGAAAACAAAAGAAAUAAAUAAAUUGAAGUGAACUAGUCAGUUCUUAUUAUAAACUGAACGAGAAUAGUUACUCAAUCACUACAAAAUUGAAAGUUUGGAGAUUCAAAUGUUGAAAUUAUACGUAUCAAAUUUGAAUUUGGAGAUUAUUUUUAUGAAAUUCGAAAGUUGAUUAAUACAUUGGUCUAUAGUCGUCAUGGCAAGUAUCGUGCACUUUCGAUAUACUUUUAUUAGUACUUUUCAUCAUUGAAUAAUUAUAAAUUUUCUCGAAGUUGUGAAAUAUCUGAAUUAAUUGAUCCACCGGAAUAAAUAUGAAGUUCAAAAAUAAAUUCUUUAAAUCUUUCAAGGUAAGUGCUUAUAAAUUUAAAUGCAGCCACAACUUUAGAGAAAUUUAUAAAUAAAAUGUAAGAUAAUUUUACAUGAUAAUAUAUUUAAUAAGUUGUUGAUUACAUUCAUUUUAAAUUAGAAAAGUUAUUGUAAUCAAAUCAAAUAUGUUUGUGUUUGAUUUUGAUUAUUCGAUCAUAUUCGGUAGAGGUUUUAUUAUCCGAGUUAUUAAUGGCUCUAGUUACUUCACCCAUGAAUAAAGAGACUUAACGUGCGAUUUUUCAAAGUCGUGUUUGCUAUAAUGUGCAGUAGUUAUUAACAAGAUCAUCAAGUACAAAUAAUCGAAAGCUCCAAAAAAGGUAUACAAAAAUUGUUCGAAUCGAAUUUUAUACAGUGUGUGACUAUUAAGUAAAAACACUAAUGCAGCAGCAAUCAGUAUAAACACUCUUGCUAUAGCAUUAGAAUUGGUAUUUGGUUCGAUAAAACGUAUCAAUCAACACUAACCGACACCAAAUCCGUCGUAAAAGCAGCAUUGCUUUUCUCGUAUGAGACCAUAAGUUGUGGAAUAGCUCUUCGCUAGCAAUGAACUUCGAUAGAUUUUUCAGAAUCUGUCACUUUCACACACACUGCUUGCUGGAGAUUGUAUUGGUUAGAUUUGGCAUUUCCUGAUAGUCAUCCGAUUCAUCCUCCUCGUCUGAGGAUAGGAAAGAUGGACCCAUCCAUGACUUAAAACCUUCGUUAACACGUCUCUCCACCUGUGGUGUGACUUCCACUGGAUUUAUUUCGAGCAUUUCCAACCCAAUAUUCCUUCCUGCAAAGUCAUUCUCGUCAGGAAAUACAGCUGUUUUUCUUCUUAGCAAGAAGGCGGUUCCUCCGUAUAGAACUACCAGCCCCCAUGAUGCGAUUUCAUAGCACCAGAACAACGGCAAUGAGCAGCUGCUACCAAGCGUGAGGAGAGUUGAACCAAGAAUUAGUGCAAGAAGACCAAAAAUGAUGGCAAACGUGGCAUUUAGGAUGGAUAGACAGCGUACACCUCCUGUAGAUGAUAGAAGUUUUUGCAAAAACUCCAGAUGAGAACUCAUGCUGAAAUGAUGAAUCGCAAGAAGAAGACAUUACACAACUACAAAACAAUAGAAUAUAACAAUUGAUAUUCUUGAAGCCUCUUAACCCUUCUGUAAGCCUAAUGUUUUUCUAACCAAAUAAUUGACAGCUUUAGUUAUCUUCUAAAUUAUAUUUAGUGUUGACGUGCUUUGUAAAAGUUAAUGAUUUUGAGUUUGGAAUCCAUGACUGUUAGCACAGCCAGUAUAACCACCUUAACAUGUUAUCCUUGAGUACAGGUGCUACUCAAAGUAGACAAGAACAAUUGGACAACUACAGUGGACUAUGUGGUUGAAUUUCAAUAUGAUGCAACCUACAAUCUGGGUUACAAUACUUUAACCCACGAACUUCGCGUGCUCAACGAUGCAAGAAACAAACAGAUAUACCACAACUUUCACCCCUUAAAUUUCAAAAGUACAAUGCCACGAUCCUCACAUUAAGUAAAACAUAUAGCCCGAUUGAAUAUGGAGAGCAUAAUUUGAUUAGAGUUCAGCAAUUUUAACCUUCGAAAUCUAGAGUGCAAUGGCCUCUGCUGCUUUAAAUAAAUUAAAAUCCACCAAAAGAAACAUGCCCCGCAACUGUGAUGCACAAAAACAUAGACUGCAAUAUUCAUUCUAGAAAAUCCAGUAACAUAAGAAAGGUAGGGUCAAAAUAACAUCUAGUACCUCUUCUAGAAGCACAGUAAUUAUUCUCAACCACCUUCAAGCAUAUGUGUUUUGCAGGAGCAGCACGGACAACGGUAAUUCCUGCAGGGAAGUUGGAAUACAUUAUGUCUGAAACCAAAAAAUAAAAUUAUGAUUAUAUUCACCACAAACAAGAAGAGUUGAGCGCACUUCACAUGAAGUCAAAGGAACCAGAAAAUCAAAUUGAUGAAGGUAAAGUUGUAUACCACACCCGUUUGGUUUGCAGAAUUAUCUAUUAUGGAAAGGUCAGGUAUUCCCAUUCUAUUUUUACUAAUAAGGAAAAUGCAUCCCCUAUAAUAUUGUUUGUGAAAAAUCAUGGAAACUCAUUAACUACAUUUAAGCUAAGGAAUACCUUUUCUGGGAAUUUGGAUAACCUAUAAAUAAGACCAAGUUGACCAACUCCAUAAAUGUCCUCAGGCGUCCCCUGUUUUCUCUUCCACCCCCUGCUCACCUUCACAGUUCCUCACCACCCUAUUCCUGUCCGCCAGUGGAGACCACUUGACCACCAUCCCUGCACAUGCCAUCCUCUAAACACAUAAUGAAUGGUCCCACCCUUCUCUAAAUAAUGUUGUGAAUUAGAUCCCCAUAAAUUUGAAAUGACCCCAAAAAAAGCCCUUGUGGAUUUGUUGGGGUGUGAUUCUCUUGAAUCACUCUUUCGUGCUUCCACUUGAUAUUUUCAGAUUUAGCCCUUGUUUGAUCCCCAUAAUUUCCAAAAUACAUUUUUGUCUCUCUUCUUCUCAACCACAUUUUCUUCAAUAAAAUAAUAUUGCACCCAAACCCAAAACUUUUUUCAUUUUUUAACUACACAUUCUCCAUCAAUCUUCCAUUCCAAAAUGCAUUCUUGAAUAAAAAUGGGACUCAAACAAGCUCUUAGUUAAUUGACUUGGAUUUUGAUGGCUUUUGUGACAAAAAGAACAUUUUGGCUUGAAUAAAAUUUGAUAGUUCCUCAAGAUGGUUUAGCUGUGUACGGUAUUGAUCCUUAUCAGUUGAAUGAUUCCUUGCUUGGUAAUGUGGAGCAGGAGUCUGUUCCUGAUGAUGGUGAUUUUUUUUAUGAACAUGGAUCUAAGCAGGCAAACUGUUCAUUGAAGCUAGUUCCAGUUAAUGAUUUUGUCUUAGCAUCAAGUGAUAUUCAAAGCUGUUUACCCAGGGACAAAGAUCCAGUUCUAACUUUCACAAUCCCUGAAGAUGGAACUUUUGCUUCACAUUAUUGCUGUUCUAUGAGUUCUGACAUGCUGGGAAGCUCAUUUAGUAAAUCUUUCCCCUUUCCAAGUGAACUUCCUCCUGAAGAUGGUUUAGGUAUGUACGGUAUUGAUCCUUAUUGGUUGAGUGAUUCCUUGCAUGGAAAUCCAGAGCAGGAGUCUGUUCCUGAAUUUGGUUGUUUUUCUUGUGAACGUGGAUCUGAGCAGGCAAACUGUUCACCGAAGCUAUUUUCAGUUAAUGAUUUUGUCUUAGCAUCAAAUGAUACUCAAAACUGUUCUUCCAGGGACAAAGAUCAAGUUCUAAUUUCUGCAAUCCCUGACAAUGGUCCUUUUGCUUCACAGUCUUGCUGUUCUAUGAUUUCUGACAUGCUGGGAAGCUCAUUUAGUGAACUUUUCCCCGUUCCAAGUGAACUUCCUCCUGAAGACGGUUUAGUCAUGUACGGUAUUGAUACUUAUCAGUUGAAUGAUUCCUUGGAUGGAAAUGCGAAGCAGAAGUCUGUUCUUGAAGAUGGUUGUUUUUGCUGUGAAUAUGGAUCUGAGCAGGCAAACUGUUCACAGAAGCUAGUUCCAAUUAAUGGUUUUGCCUUAGCCUCAAAUUAUGCUCAAAGCUGUUUUUCCAGGGACAAAGAUCCAGUUUUAACGGAUGAACAAAAUGAUUGUGGAGCUUUAUUCUAUGACUCCCCAUGCUUUCCAAGCUUGGAUAUUCCAUUUUUCAGUUGUGAUCUUGUUCAACCUGGCAGUGAUAUGCAACAAGGGUACAGUCCACUUGGCAUUCGCCAACUGAUGAUAUCUUCCUUGAAUUCAUUCAAAUGGUGGGACUCACCAUCUAGGGAAGAUAGUUCAGAUGCUGUUCAGAAAAGUAUUGCCAAAACUUUUACAGACGCACCAUCUAUACUGAAAAAAAGACGCCGCGAUCUGGUGUCUCCUCUGUCAGAAAACAGAAGUCUGAAACAGCUUGAAAGUGACUUGAGGCAGGACUCACUAUCCAACCUGUCCAUUGAAUGUUCUGGAUUAGAGGCCGUGUGUGAUGAAUGUGUAGACCAGAAAGUACUUAUGCUGUCAUCAUCUCCAAAUGACAGAAGAAACUCUGAAUCUACUUGGGUAGAUAAAGAAAAUGUGAUUCCUGAUUUUGAAGAGGGGAGAGAGGAGGGCAACAAAAGCUUUGUAAUUUCGGGAAGCAGAAUGCUACAGAAAGAAUUAAACAGCAGUGAGUUUAUGAAGAUAAAACAACAGAGUGCAAUAAUGGAUAUCAAAAAUAUGGCUGGAGGCAAUGAUUCAGUAAAAACCGUGAGUAUUUUUUAUUGUGUGCAACUACUUUUUUAGGAACCUUUUUUUAAUGCUACUAACAUGCUCAUUUUACCGAUCUGGCCUUGUAAAAUCAUUUGUCUAGAUGUAAUAAUAUAUCACUGUAUGCAUUUUAUGAACUUCAAGCCGAAAAUAAGAAGAAUUUUCUUGUUGAAAUACUUGAACUUCGUGUACGACUUCUUAUGAUAAAACCAUUCUAAAAAUGUCAUUAGAUUUACACUUGAGAGAACUGCAUAUUUUAUCUUCAAUGAACUUGUUGCAAUGUGCACUAUCUUUUCCCGUAUAGCAAUAGAUCCUCCUCCUCCUGUCCACACAGCUAUAUGCUAUCAAAAACUUAUCUGGACAAAACCUUCGCAGGGGCGCACCCUUGAUUUUAAUGAGUGUGGGACACCGGUGAAGAAAGCUGAAAAGUUGUCUAGCAGCAUUGGUUGCUCAAGUCCCUUCCCCCAUCUAAAGAGUUUCAGGUAAAAGGCGCUCAUAGCCGAGGCAUUGUGCUGUAAAAUCUGAGAGUCUAUACAUAUGUCUCCUUAGAUUAGUGUAUGAAUUGGUUUAUUCCAUUGUAAUGCUCUAAAAUCUGAGAGUCUACACAUGUCUCCUUUGAUUAGAGAGUGAAUUAAUUUAUUCUGUCGUUUAAAUUUUGUCAAAGUGUGUGGAGUUAUUAUAUGAAUUAUCUAUAGGUAUUGUUUUGCUGAAGUAUUAUCAUGGUUAAAUCUUUGGUUUCACAAUGUAAUUUUCACUACAACGAUCAUUUUAAAUGAUUUUGGGCUUGUCUAUUAUGUCGAUCAAUUGAGGUGUAUUUAGCUCUUGAAUAGUUAUGAGAUCAGAGUUCUUGGAGCAACAUUUUGCUUGCUUUAUCUUGGCUCUUGCUAUUUUGGAUAGUUUUUAUUUUAUUAAUUGAUUAGACCGAUAUUUUCGUUAAAGAACAUUAUCUUGAACGUUUUUGCGAUCUUGUUUCCGACCUCCAUAUUGUCCCCGAUCCUACUACUCUGUCGUGAGUUUUAAAGGAUGUUAAGAUUCAGGCUUGAUUCUUGAAAUUCUCGCACCUAAAAAUUUUGGCAUCAUUUUUAUGUACACCAUAUUUCUUGCAUUCAUUUUCGGCACUUAAUUUUCUCUUAUUAUUGGACAUGUAGAGCCUAAUUAAACUUAUGGAGGAAUGCUGGAAAUUUUGUACAUGUAUUAAGUUGGUCGUCCUAAUAUUUUCUCCCCCAUAUGAAGACCACUGAGGUAAACCUUUUUUACAUAGAGAAAACAAUGGUUUGAAUUUCAAAUGCAACAUUAGUGAAAUCUUGUAGCUUCAAGUGGACGUUAUUCUCACUUUCUUUACUUGCUUUCGUUUUGUGUUUUGUGAUAAUUGCUCUCGGCUAACUGAAUUAGACCAUUAAUCCUUAAAAAUGACCAUAUUUCUAGACAACUAUUUUGCAUGUAGGUAUACAUAUGAAAUCAAUAAUACUGAUUUUUCUCUCAUUAAUUUUCUCCAUUCUUUAUUAAUUCUAAAGGAUAACGUAGUUUUUGAGGACCCCUUGAUAAACAAGCACACACGAGUACUGCUUGAUGAUAACAUUAUAUCAAUACAAGAGAAGAUCAUUCGUUGUUAUAUUUGAUAACAACUUUAACACAGCUAGGAUGCUUCAGAUAUUCCCAUGCCUUGUUAAUUUCUUCGAGUGAAACUUCAUGGGUCAACAGUUCAUCCAGUUGAAUUUCCUGUUCAAACAACAUUUUUUUCUUUUCAGUCCAUGUACAAGAAGGCAUAAUCAAUUAUUUUAGGGAAGUGACGAAGGUGUGUUUUCUUUUUUCAACAACUUAAAUUUUUAAACGUGGUGAUUCAAUCAAUAAAGCUUCUAGAUUUAAUCGUGAAACUCGAAAAGGAUUCAUACCUUAUUUAUGCAUUUCUCAACUAUUUUAGGGAGGUCUGUUUGAGGUCUUACUCCACCAUAAAUGGACCCCUUAAUUGUCCUACCACACAAGAGGGGAAUGUAUUUGAGCUCCCCACUUAAAUGAAGUCCUGCACCAAUGAAAACUAUUGUCCCAAGUCCCUGUUUAAAUGACACAAUUAAAAAGAAAUUAGUC
Molecule: long non-coding RNA, 9892 nt
Filed under: Olea europaea (common olive)
Lineage: Eukaryota; Viridiplantae; Streptophyta; Magnoliopsida; Lamiales; Oleaceae
Description: long non-coding RNA (OEUR_LNC009210)
Source: RNAcentral